CCUACGGGUGGCAGCAGUCGAGAAUCAUUCACAAUGGGGGAAACCCUGAUGGUGCGACGCCGCGUGGGGGGAUGAAGGUCUUCGGAUUGUAAACCCCUGUCAUGUGGGAGCAAAUUAAAAAGAUAGUACCACAAGAGGAAGAGACGGCUAACUCUGUGCCAGCAGCCGCGGUAAUACAGAGGUCUCAAGCGUUGUUCGGAAUCACUGGGCGUAAAGCGUGCGUAGGCUGUUUCGUAAGUCGUGUGUGAAAGGCGCGGGCUCAACCCGCGGACGGCACAUGAUACUGCGAGACUAGAGUAAGGGAGAGGGAACCGGAAUUCGCGGUGUAGCAGUGAAAUGCGUAGAUAUCGAGAGGAACACUCGUGGCGAAGGCGGGUUCCUGGACAUUAACUGACGCUGAGGCACGAAGGCCAGGGGAGCGAAAGGGAUUAGAUACCCGAGUAGUC
RNAcentral lists this ribosomal RNA (446 nucleotides) under uncultured bacterium. RNAcentral's name for it is "partial 16S ribosomal RNA". It matches the Rfam family "Bacterial small subunit ribosomal RNA", at positions 338 to 795 of the family's 1533-position model. The record is from RNAcentral.